Molecule: ribosomal RNA, 253 nt
Filed under: uncultured bacterium
Lineage: Bacteria
Description: partial 16S ribosomal RNA
Rfam family: Bacterial small subunit ribosomal RNA
Source: RNAcentral
UACGUAGGUGGCAAGCGUUGUCCGGAUUUAUUGGGUUUAAAGGGUGCGUAGGCGGCUUUGUAAGUCAGUGGUGAAAUAUGGCAGCUCAACUGUCAGGGUGCCAUUGAUACUGCGGAGCUUGAGUACAGAUGAGGUAGGCGGAAUUGACGGUGUAGCGGUGAAAUGCUUAGAUAUCGUCAAGAACACCGAUAGCGAAGGCAGCUUACUGGGCUGUAACUGACGCUGAGGCACGAAAGUGUGGGGAGCAAACAGG